ACUCCUACGGGAGGCAGCAGUAGGGAAUUUUGCGCAAUGGAGGGAACUCUGACCGAGCAAUGCCGCGUGAAUGAAGAAGUACUUCGGUAUGUAAAGUUCUUUUAUUGGGGAAGAACGGCUAGUGGAAAAGCUAGAGUGACGGUACCCAUUGAAUAAGCCCCGGCUAACUAUGUGCCAGCAGCCGCGGUAAU
Molecule: ribosomal RNA, 191 nt
Filed under: uncultured bacterium
Lineage: Bacteria
Description: partial 16S ribosomal RNA
Rfam family: Bacterial small subunit ribosomal RNA
Source: RNAcentral